GACGGAGGAGGCAAGCGUUAUCCGGAAUUAUUGGGCGUAAAGGGUACGUAGGCGGCUGGUCAAGUCUGGGGUUAAAGGCCACAGCUCAACUGUGGGAAGGCCCUGGAAACUGACCGGCUAGAGUGAGGUAGGGGUUGCCGGAAUUCCCGGUGUAGCGGUGAAAUGCGUAGAGAUCGGGAGGAACACCUGAGGCGGAAGCGCGCAACUGGGCCUUAACUGACGCUGAGGUGCGAAAGCUAGGGGAGCGAAUGGG
Molecule: ribosomal RNA, 253 nt
Filed under: uncultured bacterium
Lineage: Bacteria
Description: partial 16S ribosomal RNA
Rfam family: Bacterial small subunit ribosomal RNA
Source: RNAcentral